This 909-nucleotide unclassified non-coding RNA is filed under the name Dermacentor andersoni. RNAcentral's name for it is "uncharacterized LOC126540428". Lineage: Eukaryota; Metazoa; Arthropoda; Arachnida; Ixodida; Ixodidae. The record is from RNAcentral.
GUUCCAACACUAAACGCUCCUCUAGUGCUAAACAUGCAACGACUUUCUAGAAUAGCUAUUGUUAUCGGAGUGUUUUCUUUGGCUCCUCUUAUUUCGGGCAAGGCUAAGAACCAGCUUCAGCCCGAAUUUCCAGAUGUGAAAAAGGUUUUCGAGGGGUUUCGGGCCGGUCUUGCACUCUCCGACAUUGACAACGACGGUGACCUUGACUGUGUAACGACUACGCAACAGGAUUACGAUGCCAGCGUGCCAAGUGUAACAUACGUUUGGCAUCUCCAGGCCCUAAACGGACACGAAGCGCGAAAUAUUUACUUCUAUGUCCGACCCGGCGAUGGCCCUGGCCAGAUCCUCUUCAAGGACAAUGGUGAAUAUAUUGCUGCAGUCAAGAAAAAACGCAUUCUAUAACUAAAUGUUGUUAUUAAAGAAAUAAACAAGGAAACCAGAAAAAUGGCGCUGCCCAAUAGCAUCUGAUUGAAUGAUUGAUGGGCCUCUUCAAGAGGGUACAGUGUUAUACUCUGACUACAAGGACUGCGUUGUGCUGGAUUUGCCUUACGGAAAUUAUCAAGAAUGCAUGUUGUGGAUAUCUUGGGAAGCAAAGAACAACGUUCCUCAGCGAUGUACAGACGAAUAUGAAGACAAGUGCGAAGACGCUAAAGAAGCAUUUGAUGAUGAGACUUGUAGCCCUUUUUUGAAAGUCAGUUGAUCAUAGGAUUGUUAUAACAAUGACACAUGAAGAUUAUUCAUUGCACUACAGCACGUCGCUUGGUUAAUCUGUCCAAAAUAGGUUUCUCACGCUUUCAUUGCGUCUAGCAAAGUGCGCUAAAAUACCAACUAUAAGCACAAUCUUGAUUGAUCCUGUGGAGCAAACUUUUGAAGCUUACAAUAAUAAAAUCGCGGCUGAAAUGCACCUGA